GGUGAACGCUGGCGGCGUGCUUAACACAUACAAGUCGAACGGAAAGGCUCCUGCUUGCAGGGGUACUCGAGUGGCGAACGGGUGAGUAACACGUGGGUGAUCUGCCCUGCACUUCGGGAUAAGCCUGGGAAACUGGGUCUAAUACCGGAUAGGACGAUGGUUUGGAUGCCAUUGUGGAAAGUUUUUUCGGUGUGGGAUGAGCUCGCGGCCUAUCAGCUUGUUGGUGGGGUAAUGGCCUACCAAGGCGUCGACGGGUAGCCGGCCUGAGAGGGUGUACGGCCACAUUGGGACUGAGAUACGGCCCAGACUCCUACGGGAGGCAGCAGUGGGGAAUAUUGCACAAUGGGCGCAAGCCUGAUGCAGCGACGCCGCGUGGGGGAUGACGGCCUUCGGGUUGUAAACUCCUUUCGCUAGGGACGAAGCGCAAGUGACGGUACCUGGAGAAGAAGCACCGGCUAACUACGUG
Molecule: ribosomal RNA, 466 nt
Filed under: uncultured bacterium
Lineage: Bacteria
Description: partial 16S ribosomal RNA
Rfam family: Bacterial small subunit ribosomal RNA
Source: RNAcentral